Molecule: ribosomal RNA, 253 nt
Filed under: uncultured bacterium
Lineage: Bacteria
Description: partial 16S ribosomal RNA
Rfam family: Bacterial small subunit ribosomal RNA
Source: RNAcentral
UACGAAGGGGGCUAGCGUUGCUCGGAAUCACUGGGCGUAAAGCGCACGUAGGCGGGUCUUUAAGUCAGGGGUGAAAUCCCGGAGCUCAACUCCAGAACUGCCUUUGAUACUGGAGAUCUUGAGUCCGGGAGAGGUGAGUGGAACUCCGAGUGUAGAGGUGAAAUUCGUAGAUAUUCGGAAGAACACCAGUGGCGAAGGCGGCUCACUGGCCCGGUACUGACGCUGAGGUGCGAAAGCGUGGGGAGCAAACAGG